CAAUUUUGAUUUUCGCCUUACUUUGUCAUCAAUUGUCAGCAGCAUCAAUUUAUUUCAUACAGCAGACCGUGAAUCAUGAAAGGAUCGGUCAAUGAGGUUAACGAAGCCUACCGAGAUAGGUCCAGUUAACUCUAAAUUGAACGCGAAAUGCCAAAAUCGUUGCAGUUCUUAGUGCUUUUUGGUCUGACGCUAAAUAAAGUUUACUGAUAUAGUGUUAGGAUUUCAACCAAUAGUAUCCAAGAAUCAUGAGCUUGGUGAGUACCUUCAGUGUCAUCAAAUCGAACUUCAAACUAGCACCACAACAGUAUAUCAUAGACAACUGGGUGUUCAAACUACAUUAUAAAGCCUCGGUUUUAUUUUUUCUGAUCGCAACAAUUUUGGUGACUUCAAGACAGUACAUCGGGGAACAUAUCAGAUGCAUUGCAGAUGGAGGUGUUCCUGAACAUGUGAUGAACACUUUUUGUUUCUUCACAACAACUUUCACCGUG
Leptinotarsa decemlineata (Colorado potato beetle) is the source of this 488-nucleotide long non-coding RNA. The record is from RefSeq and is a predicted model, not a curated record. NCBI's taxonomy places the organism in Eukaryota, Metazoa, Arthropoda, Insecta, Coleoptera, Chrysomelidae.